This 425-nucleotide ribosomal RNA is filed under the name uncultured bacterium. RNAcentral's name for it is "bacterial SSU rRNA". It matches the Rfam family "Bacterial small subunit ribosomal RNA", at positions 354 to 796 of the family's 1533-position model. The record is from RNAcentral.
GUGGGGAAUCUUGCGCAAUGGGCGAAAGCCUGACGCAGCCAUGCCGCGUGAAUGAUGAAGGUCUUAGGAUUGUAAAAUUCUUUCACCGGGGACGAUAAUGACGGUACCCGGAGAAGAAGCUCCGGCUAACUUCGUGCCAGCAGCCGCGGUAAUACGAAGGGGGCUAGCGUUGCUCGGAAUUACUGGGCGUAAAGGGCGCGUAGGCGGACAGCUUAGUCAGAGGUGAAAGCCCAGGGCUCAACCUUGGAAUUGCCUUUGAUACUGGCUGUCUUGAGUUUGGGAGAGGUGAGUGGAACUCCGAGUGUAGAGGUGAAAUUCGUAGAUAUUCGGAAGAACACCAGUGGCGAAGGCGACUCACUGGCCCAAUACUGACGCUGAGGCGCGAAAGCGUGGGGAGCAAACAGGAUUAGAAACCCUGGUAGUCC